RNAcentral lists this ribosomal RNA (278 nucleotides) under uncultured Christensenellaceae bacterium. Its description in RNAcentral is "partial 16S ribosomal RNA". It matches the Rfam family "Bacterial small subunit ribosomal RNA", at positions 511 to 788 of the family's 1533-position model. Lineage: Bacteria; Bacillati; Bacillota; Clostridia; Christensenellales; Christensenellaceae. The record is from RNAcentral.
GCAGCCGCGGUAAUACGGAAGGUCCGGGCGUUAUCCGGAUUUAUUGGGUUUAAAGGGAGCGUAGGCGGCCUUUUAAGCGUGCUGUGAAAUGUACCGGCUCAACCGGUGAAUUGCAGCGCGAACUGGAGGGCUUGAGUUCGCGGAAGGCAGGCGGAAUUCGUGGUGUAGCGGUGAAAUGCUUAGAUAUCACGAAGAACUCCGAUUGCGAAGGCAGCUUGCCGCAGCGUUACUGACGCUGAAGCUCGAAGGUGCGGGUAUCGAACAGGAUUAGAUACCCC